Long non-coding RNA from Salvia miltiorrhiza (redroot sage), 2109 nucleotides. RefSeq lists it as uncharacterized. The record is from RefSeq and is a predicted model, not a curated record. The transcript is spliced from 6 exons. Lineage: Eukaryota; Viridiplantae; Streptophyta; Magnoliopsida; Lamiales; Lamiaceae.
CUCUCACUUUUCCAAAUAAUUUAACGCCAUCGCUGUUUCCUUUUCCUCUUUCAAUUCAUUCUUCUGCUCGUCAAAAUCAGUCGGCUGCUCCUCUCUUCUCAAGUCCGGUGCCGCUACACUGAAAUUGGAUGAGCCGGCGCUGCCGUAGUUUCUCUAAAUCCGACACAAUCGCCGUUCGUUUCCUCUUCUUCUCUCAAUCACUACAAUUCCAGAGUCCACACACAAAGAAUCGAGCCCUAGUUCAUUAUUCUCUUGAAAACUGUUGCCGUCGCGGCUCCUCUCCGACGAUGUUGUGCCCGCCGUCGGCGUUGCCUCUAGUGUUCUCAAUUACACAUGGAGGAAGGGACGAGCCCUAAUUUCGCCUCAGAAUCGCCGCAGGCCAUCCCCCCUCCCCUUUGAACUCCGGCGAUGUCGCCGUCCUUAGGGCGGUGUCGCUCUGCCUCAUCUCAGAAAACUCUCUCCUCUCAACCUCAAGCACCAAUUCGUACUCACAUACAAAAGAGAACAACAGUCGAGCAAGAAGCAGCCGCUGUCCUCCUCUCAAUUCCGCCAACGUCGCCGCCCAAGGUUGUUCAUGAGACCAUUAAUGUUGGAACAGAGACUGCUGCCGGUGUGUUUUGGAUUGAGAAGAGUUUCACGCUUCCAGGAAAAUUCUUAUACCUGAGUGUGUUUUGGAUUGAGAAGAGUUUCAGGCCUCAAAGCUAGUUAAGGAAAUUGGUUGCAACUGAUCGGUGUAUCAUGGCUAUCUUAUUCCUUAUUGUUGUCGGUGUCAUAGCUAUCAUUAUUGUGAAGGAAGAGGAUCAAGUGUAUACUGGCAUCUAGAGUUUAGUACCCUGUUAGUACAUGAUAUUUUGUCAUGAAUAUUUUCUCUGGAAAAAGUUGGACUUUGAGACUUCCAACUUUAUAUGACUUACAUGUUGAUUUGAGAAUUUAUGGGGGCUGUGAAUCAUAAAUGGUUCAUUGGGGAAGAAUUUAGGACAUAUAGAUAUUGCGAUACUCAUGGAUUUGAUUAAAGACUUAUUUAGUUCUAAAACCAUGUCAAACAAAUUAGUUUGGGGAAUAUUAAAUAAAGCUAGAGAUGGAGAAAAUGUUCUGCAGCCACGCAAACUCUGCCUUGCCACCACAUGACUGCUGCUCAGAACGUCAUGGAACAGGUCACCUUCUUCAUUUUAAUUACUACUUGGUCAACUUAGUAGAUUUCUGAAUAUUGAUUUACUGUGUAUGUUGGCUUCUUUGGCAAUCUAUGGAAAUAUGUAAUAUAAUCUGUGGAUUUCUUAUUCUUGGUCUAGUUAUUUGGCAAUCUAUGGAAAUAUGUAAUAUAAUCUUUGGUGGUAUUUGCUCACAUGAACUUUCAUUGUUUGAUGAUUAGAGUAGUAAGGGCGGAAAUUAUCUUUACUUAGUUGAAUAGUUUUUAUUUAAUUUCUUGAUAGCUUUUCUCCUGGACCACCUUGUGAUGCUUCCUUGCGUAGUUUAAUCCUAUACAAAUUAUGAUGUCCCAAUCAACAAGCUAUGACAUGUUGUUUCUGUUACAAUGAUUUCAUUCUGGUGCAGGUCUGAUGGAACCAAAAUGAUAGUGCAUAUGUUCGACUCUCUUUAUAAUAGAAUUCGUGAUGUUCCUUGAAAAGCUGCUGUUGACAAUGCUAUGAGUAUCUACAAUGCAAACAAAGGAAAGAAAUUCAAGAACUCGGCAAAAUGGGAAAAUAUAAAGGCUCCUAAGCAACUUGGUGGUACGGAAUGUGGAUUUUUUGUGAUGCGCUAUAUGAAAGAAAUAGUGCAAGGAUUCAAACAUUUGUGAAGUUAAUCUUCAUUUAGCAUCAUUUUUAGUUUCUUUACAUGGCACAUAGUAUUAUGUUUUAUUGAUUUUGUUUCAUGGUCAGGUGGCAAUAACAGUCAGCAGGAAGAUAGGAAGCUAGAUGUGGUAUUUUGGUUGGUGUUUUGUAUGUCUUUUGAAUCUGGAAAAAAUGUAAGAAUUUGGUGAAGCAAGUGUUGAACACCAUUUUUUUGUUAAUAUUGUUUGGAUGUAAAUUACAUGACUACUUUAGGUACUUUGGAGCUACAAUGUAUGGAAGUUUAAGUUAUUUUAUAUAUAAUAUGUUUUGGAUUGUAUUA